GCAGUGCUUGUGGAGAAUUUGGAAAUGACACUGCACUCCCCUGCACGAAAGAAACACCAGACUACGAAUCUGGGGGUCAGGAGUUCGAAUCUCUUCGGGUGCGCCA
This 106-nucleotide transfer RNA is filed under the name Rhizobium etli CIAT 652. RNAcentral describes it as "tRNA-Arg (ACG) (tRNA-Arg-ACG-2-1)". Lineage: Bacteria; Pseudomonadati; Pseudomonadota; Alphaproteobacteria; Hyphomicrobiales; Rhizobiaceae. The record is from RNAcentral.